This 194-nucleotide ribosomal RNA is filed under the name uncultured bacterium. Its description in RNAcentral is "partial 16S ribosomal RNA". It matches the Rfam family "Bacterial small subunit ribosomal RNA", at positions 338 to 524 of the family's 1533-position model. The record is from RNAcentral.
CCUACGGGAGGCAGCAGUAGGGAAUCUUCCGCAAUGGACGAAAGUCUGACGGAGCAACGCCGCGUGAGUGAUGAAGGUUUUCGGAUCGUAAAACUCUGUUGUUAGGGAAGAACAAGUACAAGAGUAACUGCUUGUACCUUGACGGUACCUAACCAGAAAGCCACGGCUAACUACGUGCCAGCAGCCGCGGUAAU